AGGACGAACGCUGGCGGCGUGCCUAACACAUGCAAGUCGAACGGGGCCCGCAAGGGUUCAGUGGCGAACGGGUGCGUAACACGUGAAGAAUUUGUCCAACGGCGGGGGAUAGCCGGCCCAACGGCCGGGUAAUACCGCGUACGACCUUCGGGGGGCAUCCCCUGAUGGUGAAAGCCGCAAGGCGCCGAUGGAGAACUUCGCGGCCUAUCAGCUAGUUGGUGAGGUCAUGGCUCACCAAGGCGACGACGGGUAGCUGGUCCGAGAGGAUGACCAGCCACAUUGGGACUGGAGACACGGCCCAGACCUCCUACGGGAGCAGCAGGUGGGAAUAGUUGCGCAAGUGGGACGAAAGCCUGGACGCAGCGACGCCGCGUGUGGGA
RNAcentral lists this ribosomal RNA (380 nucleotides) under uncultured soil bacterium. Its description in RNAcentral is "bacterial SSU rRNA". It matches the Rfam family "Bacterial small subunit ribosomal RNA", at positions 26 to 408 of the family's 1533-position model. The record is from RNAcentral.